Molecule: ribosomal RNA, 572 nt
Filed under: Saccharomyces cerevisiae (brewer's yeast)
Lineage: Eukaryota; Fungi; Ascomycota; Saccharomycetes; Saccharomycetales; Saccharomycetaceae
Description: partial large subunit ribosomal RNA
Rfam family: Eukaryotic large subunit ribosomal RNA
Source: RNAcentral
AAACCAACCGGGAUUGCCUUAGUAACGGCGAGUGAAGCGGCAAAAGCUCAAAUUUGAAAUCUGGUACCUUCGGUGCCCGAGUUGUAAUUUGGAGAGGGCAACUUUGGGGCCGUUCCUUGUCUAUGUUCCUUGGAACAGGACGUCAUAGAGGGUGAGAAUCCCGUGUGGCGAGGAGUGCGGUUCUUUGUAAAGUGCCUUCGAAGAGUCGAGUUGUUUGGGAAUGCAGCUCUAAGUGGGUGGUAAAUUCCAUCUAAAGCUAAAUAUUGGCGAGAGACCGAUAGCGAACAAGUACAGUGAUGGAAAGAUGAAAAGAACUUUGAAAAGAGAGUGAAAAAGUACGUGAAAUUGUUGAAAGGGAAGGGCAUUUGAUCAGACAUGGUGUUUUGUGCCCUCUGCUCCUUGUGGGUAGGGGAAUCUCGCAUUUCACUGGGCCAGCAUCAGUUUUGGUGGCAGGAUAAAUCCAUAGGAAUGUAGCUUGCCUCGGUAAGUAUUAUAGCCUGUGGGAAUACUGCCAGCUGGGACUGAGGACUGCGACGUAAGUCAAGGAUGCUGGCACAAUGGUUAUAUGCCGC